Myotis brandtii (Brandt's bat) is the source of this 368-nucleotide long non-coding RNA. RefSeq lists it as uncharacterized. The transcript has 2 exons. The record is from RefSeq and is a predicted model, not a curated record. NCBI's taxonomy places the organism in Eukaryota, Metazoa, Chordata, Mammalia, Chiroptera, Vespertilionidae.
GAUAGGCCAGUGAGCUGGGACAAGUAGAAUAGGGAAACUGAGCAGAAAUCCUAUCUUCCCUAAACCAAUGACACUUGGGAGUAAAUGCUUUGCAUUUGCCUCCCUAAGCAAAGGUUAAAUAGAUCAUGUCAAUCUGAUUAGUGUCAUUUGCUGUCCACACCCAAGGACAAAUGAAGUUAGAAAAUAAGCCUUAUUUUGAUUAGUUCUUUUAUUCAGGUAUUUUUUAAGGAGGAGGUAACCUGGUCCCUCCCCGCAACAUGGGUAAUAGCUCCUCCUCAAACUCGACUGUCUUAGAAUGAAUUGUCUUCCUCUAACUCACAAUAGGAAAUAAUACAGGCCGGUGUCAUUUGGCUUGCUGGUUAAAGGAA